GGCGCAAAUGAUAGCAGAGAAAGUCAAUAUGCAAGUCGAACGAUGAACUGGAGCUUGCUCCAGGGAUUAGUGGCGAACGGGUGAGUAACACGUGAGUAACCUGCCCUUGACUCUGGGAUAAGCGCUAGAAAUGGCGUCUAAUACCGGAUACGAGCUUCAGCCGCAUGGCUAGGAGUUGGAAAGAAUUUUGGUCAAGGAUGGACUCGCGGCCUAUCAGCUAGUUGGUGAGGUAAUGGCUCACCAAGGCGACGACGGGUAGCCGGCCUGAGAGGGUGACCGGCCACACUGGGACUGAGACACGGCCCAGACUCCUACGGGAGGCAGCAGUGGGGAAUAUUGCACAAUGGGCGAAAGCCUGAUGCAGCAACGCCGCGUGAGGGAUGACGGCCUUCGGGUUGUAAACCUCUUUUAGUAGGGAAGAAGCGAAAGUGACGGUACCUGCAGAAAAAGCACCGGCUAACUACGUGCCAGCAGCCGCGGUAAUACGUAGGGUGCAAGCGUUGUCCGGAAUUAUUGGGCGUAAAGAGCUCGUAGGCGGUUUGUCGCGUCUGCUGUGAAAUCUGGGGGCUCAACCCCCAGCCUGCAGUGGGUACGGGCAGACUAGAGUGCGGUAGUGGGAGAUUGGAAUUCCUGGUGUAGCGGUGGAAUGCGCAGAUAUCAGGAGGAACACCGAUGGCGAAGGCAGAUCUCUGGGCCGUAACUGACGCUGAGGAGCGAAAGCAUGGGGAGCGAACAGGAUUAGAUACCCUGGUAGUCCAUGCCGUAAACCUUGGGAACUAGAUGUGGGGGCCAUUCCACGGUCUCCGUGUCGCAGCUAACGCAUUAAGUUCCCCGCCUGGGGAGUACGGCCGCAAGGCUAAAACUCAAAGGAAUUGACGGGGGCCCACACAAGCGGCGGAGCAUGCGGAUUAAUUC
This 915-nucleotide ribosomal RNA is filed under the name Frigoribacterium sp. RNAcentral's name for it is "bacterial SSU rRNA". It matches the Rfam family "Bacterial small subunit ribosomal RNA", at positions 26 to 952 of the family's 1533-position model. The record is from RNAcentral. Lineage: Bacteria; Bacillati; Actinomycetota; Actinomycetes; Micrococcales; Microbacteriaceae.